Molecule: ribosomal RNA, 465 nt
Filed under: uncultured bacterium
Lineage: Bacteria
Description: partial 16S ribosomal RNA
Rfam family: Bacterial small subunit ribosomal RNA
Source: RNAcentral
CCUACGGGUGGCAGCAGUGGGGAAUAUUGCGCAAUGGGCGAAAGCCUGACGCAGCGACGCCGCGUGAGGGAUGAAGGUCUUCGGAUCGUAAACCUCUGUCAGCAGGGAAGAACGGUCACUGUGCUAAGCAGGAGGGAAUGGACGGGACAGGCAAAGUAAGCACCGGCCUACUACGUGCCCCCCGCCGCGGUAAUACGGAGGGUGCGAGCGUUAAUCGGAAUGACUGGGCGUAAAGCGCUCGUAGGCGGUAUUUCAAGUCAAGGGUGAAAGUCCCGCGCUCAACGUGGGAACUGCCUUUGAAACUGGCAACCUGGAGUGUGUGAGAGGUUAGUGGAAUUCCCGGUGUAGGAGUGAAAUCCGUAGAUAUCUGGAGGAACAUCAGUUGCGAAGGCGACUCUCUGGCUCAUAACUGACGCUGCGGCGCGAAAGCGUGGGUAGCGAACAGGAUUAGAUACCCUAGUAGUC